RNAcentral lists this long non-coding RNA (714 nucleotides) under Piliocolobus tephrosceles (Ugandan red Colobus). Its description in RNAcentral is "lncRNA (ENSPTEG00000023739.1)". The record is from RNAcentral. Lineage: Eukaryota; Metazoa; Chordata; Mammalia; Primates; Cercopithecidae.
AUGACUAACUUACAAGAUGCGGAACAAAAAUUUUUAAACCACGACUGGGUAAAUGACAAAGAAUGGAAACUGUAUUUGAGCAAUUUAUAUCCUUCACCAUCAAUGCAAAAUAUAGAGAAAUAUAAAAAAAAAUAUUUUCAAAAAAAUAUUGAUAAAAAUCUUAAUAUAAAUACUAAUUUUGAAACUGAUACAAAAGAAGAAAAAAAGGAAACUCCUGUUUAUACUCAACCAAAUAAUAAUGUUUAUAAUUCUAAGAACAUAACCCAUUUGAUGACCUUGUUAUAUAGUACAUUUCUUUUAACUAUGAGUAUAUUUUAUUUUAUACUUUUGGCACUGAAUAUAUCAUUCUAUAAGAAAAUGGCCACAUUAGUAUCUAUGUCCUAUCUCUUGACUAUCAUUUGUACCCUAUUUUUUGAUUAUAAAAUUCAUAAAAAAUACACUACUUUUGUGCAAAUAUUUUCAAGUCCAUUAAUUCAUUAUUUAUCAUACUCUAUGAUACUCUUUUUUAUUAAGGAUAGCAUUUUAAUAUUUCUACCAGUCUUUCUUACUAUUUUAAUAAAUGCUUAUUAUACAUAUAAAGAAAUAAGAUUACUUUUGCCUCAGGCAAUACAAAAGAAUUAUUAUUUAAAUACAUUAGUGUUUUACCUAGAUCGAACUGUAAACAUAUAAGGACAAAAUAGAUACAUAUAAAUAAACAUUACAAUCACAAAAACA